AUCAGCUUUUAAAAGGCGGCGUAAGCUGUCGCUAUGGGAUGGCCCCGCGGUGCAUUAGCUAGUUGGUAAGGUAAAGGCUUACCAAGGCGAUGAUGCAUAGCCGAGUUGAGAGACUGAUCGGCCACAUUGGGACUGAGACACGGCCCAAACUCCUACGGGAGGCAGCAGUAGGGAAUCUUCCACAAUGGACGCAAGUCUGAUGGAGCAACGCCGCGUGAGUGAAGAAGGUUUUCGGAUCGUAAAGCUCUGUUGUUGGUGAAGAAGGAUAGAGGUAGUAACUGGCCUUUAUUUGACGGUAAUCAACCAGAAAGUCACGGCUAACUACGUGCCAGCAGCCGCGGUAAUACGUAGGUGGCAAGCGUUGUCCGGAUUUAUUGGGCGUAAAGCGAGCGCAGGCGGAAGAAUAAGUCUGAUGUGAAAGCCCUCGGCUUAACCGAGGAACUGCAUCGGAAACUGUUUUUCUUGAGUGCAGAGGAGGAGAGUGGAACUCCAUGUGUAGCGGUGGAAUGCGUAGAUAUAUGGAAGAACACCAGUGGCGAAGGCGGCUCUCUGGUCUGCAACUGACGCUGAGGCUCGAAAGCAUGGGUAGCGAACAGGAUUAGAUACCCUGGUAGUCCAUGCCGUAAACGAUGAGUGCUAAGUGUUGGGAGGUUUCCGCCUCUCAGUGCUGCAGCUAACGCAUUAAGCACUCCGCC
RNAcentral lists this ribosomal RNA (695 nucleotides) under uncultured Bacillota bacterium. RNAcentral's name for it is "bacterial SSU rRNA". It matches the Rfam family "Bacterial small subunit ribosomal RNA", at positions 192 to 873 of the family's 1533-position model. Lineage: Bacteria; Bacillati; Bacillota. The record is from RNAcentral.